AUAAAAGCCAGUAUUGAUUGGGGCAGGGAAAUGAGCUCCACGCCCCUGCACUGGGAGCAGAAUGUAAAUACUUUUCUGGAAGGCAAUUAGCUACUAUGUAUCAAAACUCUUUAAAAUGUGCAUCUCUGCUUAACCAGAAAGUCCAGGUCUAGAAAUUUGCUGAAGGCAGUAAUUUAAAAGAUCAAUACAGUGUGGCAGUUAAGAGCCAAUCAGGACGUCAAUAGAAUCUGGUUUCAGGUCCUGAUUCCACUGAUGAGCUAAAUAAAAAUUACAAAUUACUGAAUGAGAACUUCAACACCUGGUAUGUGAAAUGGAGAUAAUAGUAAUAGCCAUCACACUGGCUGUCCUGAGGAUAAAAUGAGCCAAGUAAGAAAAUGCUCAGCACCAGCACACCCAGCAAGGUACAUAAAAAUGAUGGUAUAAAGAUGGUCAUCACAUCAUUGUAUGUAAAAGGGGAAAGCUAAAAUGCAAUGAAAUUGUCUAAUAAUAAAUGAUGCAUUAAACAAAUUAUGACAUAUCCAUAUAAUGAAUAUUAAGCUAUCCUUUAAAAUGUUGUGGAAACAUAUAUAUUGCUGCAGAAAGAUAUUCACAAUGUAUCAUUUGGGAUUAUAGGCAUUAUGGGAAAGUCCCUAAGACAGUUCAAGCAGGAAGGGCCUCGGUCCUGUAUUUCUUUCUUACGUUUGAAUAGAAACUACUACUUUUACAACUUUGUUAGGUGAAAAUUAGAUUAAAACAAAUACAGGGGAACAUAGCAUACCAGUUUUCAGCACACAACCACAGAGUGUUUACAGAUAUUAUCAACAUUCAACGUUUCUCUUUUGAAUUGUCACUCUUCAAAAGCCAUAAUUUCCCCAUUCCAGUUCAUUGGUUCAAUUCUUUUUUUUAUCUCAAUAAUCUUUUUUGUUCAAAUCACAUCUGUAAGUCAACAAAAAUUAAAGAUCAAAGCCCUUUGUAUUUUAAAUAUCCCAAAAAGUGUCUUUAUUAUUGCCCAUUUCUUUUGUUUGCCCUUUCAGAAUCAUAUAUGAACUAUUUUCUUAGUGCCUACUAAACUGGUAUCUAAAAUCACCAAUCUAGACAAGCUAGUAGGCCUCAAGCUUCCUAAGGGAACAGAGGUUUUACUCUCCCAUUCCAAGCCUCUUGGUAAUUAAAACAAGUGGCAAACAUAAACACAACUAAAUCAUUGGCAUUUACUAUAUGUUUGCUUAUGUCAUUAAUCUUCAUAACAACCCUCCAAGUGGAUAUUAUACCAUCUCAAUUUUACAGUUGGCAAACUGAACCUUAAGGAAUGAAGUAAUCUUUUUCAAGCAGAAUUUGGUUCCAGGUGCCAGAUACUCCUUGACUUACUGUUUGUUGUUUUCAAAACUUUUCUGAAUGUUCAUUGAUGAAUACCACUGGCAUUGAAGGGCAAUCUAGAAACCUCUGGAAAUCCAAAACUGCCGGAUGAAGAAAGAAUGCCUAUUACAGAGAGGAGCCCACAGCAUAAACCACCCUCUCUUUCUUGUAUAGGGCAACUAAGAAUAAACAGAUCUGAAUAGAAAAAGGCAAACCACAACUACACUGUGCAAAUCAAUGCAAGGGCCAAAUGGGAGUUCUCUAAUCUAGGGUUUUUCCUUAGCUGUACAGAGAUUCAUUUUACAUUUUAAUAUGCAACAUUUCACUUGAAUUAAGAUCAACGCUAGUUCCCUAAACACUGUAAUUCCGCAUGUGGAGACUUUUACUGUAGGGAGUGUACCACCUCUUUCUGGAUAUUCUCUUCCCUCCUCUAAACCAUUCUACAUACAUCUGCCAGAUUAAUCUUCUUAAAGUUUUAAUUACCUCAUUCCUCAGCUGAAAAAGCUUAAAGAGUUCCACAUUGCUUUGAAAUAUUGUCUAAAUUCCUCAACGGUCUGGCUCCAAACUCUUUUCAAUAAAAUUUUAUCAUCAGGAUAAUUUCUGUAGCAACUAACAGAAAUCCCAGUUCAAACUGGCCUAAACAGAAGGAAGCAUUUUCUCAUACAACUGGGAGAACAAAAGUCAGAUGGGCUUUGAGGUGACUUAAUCCCGUGGUUCUGGUUUCGUGCACCUAGGACUGAUUCAUAUUCUCUGUCUGUCUCUAUCUCUCUCUCUCUUCCCUCUGGUCAAUCAUAUUAUACUCAAGACACAGGAAAAGACACAUAAGUGUUUUCACACUUUGUCAUGCAACAUCCUGCCCACCAUUUUCAUCCAUCCUUCAAGGCCCACAUCUUUCAUGGCCCAUCCCUGUUGGUCCCAGCAGAGAGCCCUUCCCACUUUACUAUGACCUGUCUUAUAAAAUGACGACUUACAUGUAUGCCUUAACUGCUGACUAAACAAUAAGUUCCUUGAGGGCUGAGUCUACAUCCAAGCCCUUCUCUGCAUCCCAUUUCCUGACUAGUGACUUGUACACAGACUCUCAAUAAAUUAGCCAAUCAACCAACAAAGUCAACCUUAUAAGAAAAUCUGCACAGUUAUUUGUCCUAAGGCAAAUUUCAUAAAAACUCCUAAACCUUGGGUUAAAAACAACUAGAGGACACUCAGAUUUGAGGAGGAAUUUUAUGCAGAAAAUAGAACUCUCAGAAGAAAAGCUAUUUGAAAGUCUAAAACAAUUAGGGGAUCCAGGCUAAGCCUACCUCAUGUUGGUGCUAUUCUCACUGUAUCCCUACUGACCUGCACAGUAUCCUUAUCUAAGUGAGACACCAGACAAAACCUAGCAUCUCUUGACAUCACUCACUUUCUCAGCCCAUCCAGAGGCCUUAAAGUAACCCGCUCUCUACAAUUUGCCUACCCAGAAGUAGACUCCAGGAGAAACCCCAGGGGAAAUUAUAUGGUAAAGUCAGAAAAGAAGUCAGCAAAAGGCAACACGAUGUGAGUGCUCCAUGGUAAAGAAUGAAUUUGCUUUGGUGUAGCAUGAGGUCAGUGAUCUGGCAUUGGGAUUCAUUCAAUCACUCAUUCUAAAAUAUUUAAUAAUUGUUUGUUAGUUGUUAGGUACAAUGUCAGUUAUGAGCCUCAAACUUCUUUUGAACAAACUGGAAAAGAUGUUUUUUUCUCCCAAAGCCACUUCCUUCCUCCAUGGCCCAACAGCUCAAGGUCUCCUUGGGAUAUGGAGUUUAGGGUCAGCAGCUUCAAAGUCACAAUCCUCACUGUAGAUCACAGGACAGAGCAGUCCUUUGACUGUGCUAAACUGAGGUGAUUACCCUACCUCCAAAUUUUAGGAGUCUCCAUGGUGACUGAAAAUGGCUCAGAAAGGGAGCUGUUGGUAAGAUAGCUCUCUCUUUCAUCAUUCACUCAUUCAUGUAUUGAUUCAUUUGUUCAACGUUGAGAACUUCCAUUUGCCACAUCCUCUGCCUCUGAAGAGCUAAUAGGCAGGGAAAUAGAUAUGUUAAACAAAUAAUUAUGACAUGUUAUGAUCCGUGUCAUGAUAGAAAUAAGCACAGAGUGAGGGAGCAAUGAGAGGAAACGACAGACUCUGCCUGGAGAGUCAAAGGAGGCUCAGAGAGGGGGUAAUGCAGGACCAAUGAAGGAUGUAAACAUCGGAGAUGUUCCAACCCACAAGCUAUUCCCCAGCCUUCAAAGUAAGUGCAAGUAUAAGUGGAGAUAUGAGUAGAUUUACUUUAAAUAUAGAAGAGUUGGAAAAGGACAGGUUAGGAUUUUCAGCUAACUAUGGGGAUAAAAAUCAUUGCAUGAAGACAACCUAAGUCACUAAUCAUUCUCUUAUUGACAAUAACAACUUCUUUCCUGAGGCCCUUCUCUGUCUCUUUGGUUUCUGUUGUUUGUGGGUAAAUAUCCACCUGCUAUUUUAUACUAUUCCUGCUUAAUUGGCAACCAGCUGCCUCUAGGAAAUAAGAUAUUAUGUUCAAGUGUAACUAUUUUUUCUACCUCCAUCUUAUCACCAAGAAAAAGACUUAAGUUGAGAAAAUAUAUUCUUAAAAUAGAUACUUCCUUAAAAAACAAAACAAAACAAACAGAAAAAACAGCAAUGAGAUAUAAAGUAAGUGCUGAGAAUUCUAUCCUUUCUAAGGUAUCAACUCAAGGUAGGCAAAAACUAUACAAUCAUGAUUUGGUGAGCUUUAUUGCAUUCACAUAGCAACAGGAACAGACCUAGUCAAAUGUUAGUGAUAGCUUCUGCAUCAAAUCAAAGAAAUAGCUACUCCCUGAACUGCCUCUUUUGAGAGUGUUUUUAUUCAAAACUUUUAUGGCCCUUGGAACUUUUGAGACUUUUCAGUAGAAAAUUUCCAUGAUCUGGGAGCUGGGUUUCUGGGUCAGCUGGACAUAGCCUCCCUGCUCAGGACAGUGUUGGUAGGACAUGCUGGAGAAUAGGAGCACUUUGGAAGUAAGCCCUGCACAUGUGAUGGAUACAGGCAUGACAACGACCACCCUGACCAGCAAAGGGAGAAAAACAAAAGCAUCAAGCCAUAACUUGUUAAAGGGCAGCCCAGAGAGAUAGGAAAUUCCUAAAGCAAAGACUAAGUAGUGUGAUUUCAGAUGCUUUGGUCCAUGGAAUAAAAGAGAUUUUUUUUUUUACCCACCUACCCAUGGUGGGUAGUAGAGAGUGGUACUGUUUUGUAUAGCCUGCUACAGGACUCUUACCUCACAGCAUCCCUAUAUCUAUUUAUUUGUUAAAAAAAUAAAACAAAUGGUUAUUGCUUUUCAUCCUGAGAACAUCAAGAUUAUGAUACAGGAAUAAAAACAUAAUGUCUUAUAGAUGUAGAAGAUUAAGACCCAAAGAAAUUCAAUGGCCCUCUAAUAGGCCCAAAUUACUUAGUAAUAUAAGAAAUUGCACAGCAAACAUUUCCCGACUGAAGAUGGAAAUUUCUCUAAUGCAGCUCUGAUCCAGGGCAUUUUUCUGAACUUGAAAGGAGGCAAAAAGAAGUGCUUCAUAGGAACAUGUAUAUGUUCCCUCCAGGUCAUCAUAAAAAUCAUAAUAAAUCAUAACAUUUUUGAAUUCAAGAAAAUCUAAUAAAAUUUAACUCCUUUUUUAUAUAGAUGAGGAAAACAAGGCCUCAGGGAAUACAGUGACCUCCUUAAAGUUAUACAGCUACCAAAAUAUAUGAAAAAGCCAAAACUUAUGCUCGAGUCAUCUGAUCCCAAACUAUCUCCAACUAAAGAAAAACAAAAAAAAGAGGGAGAGAGAGAGAGAGCAACAAUGAGAAAAAUAAAAUCUCUACUUUUCCAAAGGUAGAGAACAUUCUGACAAACAUCUGCAAUUUCAUGGAAAUACCAGGUUUCGUACUGAUCUGUAUUCCCAGACUAUCCCUCCUCGGUGAGGACUAUUUGUUAAGUUAGGCUACUUUCAAUGACUAGACUGAGAGACUGUGGCUCUAGUUUUCAAAGAAUUGCUCCAUAUUCAUCCUGAUCCUUCUUGGUUUUAUAAAUUCACCAGAUUAACUAGAAAAUAUCUUUCUUCUUCUAUGAAAAUCUCUCUGAGGUUGCAGCUUGGUGCAUUUAAAGCUCUCUGAGGAGAGAGCAGGAAUAAAAGCCAGUUGGAAAACAACUGGGCCUCUGCCUGAAUUCUCUAAAGACUUCAUGUGCACACAGGCUCCCUUCUACUGACGUUCAACAUUUGCUCUUGGUUUUGACCUAUUUUCAUGUCUUGACACCUGCUUCUGGGCCUCUGCAUCCAUGAGAGCCUGUAUGGCUGAACACAUAGGAAGGUAUCACCUGUCUGUAUCCUUUAUCCCUGGCACUUGCCUAGUUUCCUCUUGGCCAACCUCCUCACUUUCCACUAACUGCCACAGACUUCCAGUUGCCAUUCUUUUGACCAUAUUCCUUCCAAUAUGUCCUAGGGUGGGAGGGAAUAACCAAGCUUCUAGAGCAGAGGUGCACACAGGUGUAGGAUUUCCUGGAGGAGUUAAUUUUUUUUUUUAAACUUAUGGCCUGACCAGCGCCAUAUGGAAGUUCCCAAGCCAGGAAGUGAAUCCAAGCCACAGCUGUGGCAAUGGCCAGAUCCUUAACCCACUGCACAGGGGGGGGGAUCAAACCCAUGUCUGUGCAGCGACCCAAGCCACUGAAGCUAGAUUCUUAACCCACUACGCCACAGUAAGAACUCCCUAUUUUUUAAUUUUUUAACCACCACAUUUUUAUUUUGCCCAGUAAUUACAUGUUUAAAAAACUCCUACCCUCUAUUAGCAGUAUUAUUUAAUAAAUAAUAUUUCUGCAGGUCUGAUCUUAUAUAAUAAACCAUAUUUUAACUCAAAAAGAGUAAGAGAGGCAUUUUCUUAUUUAAAAUCAGCUUGUCCAGGGAGUUCCUGUCAUGCCUCAGCAGUCACAAACCCAACCAGUAUCCAUGAGGUGGCAGGUUCAAUCCCUGCCUCACUCAGUGGGUUAAGGAUCCAGCGUUGCCAUGAUCUAUGGUAUAGGUCAAGGACGUGGCUCAGAUCCUGGCAUUGCUGUAGUUGUGGCACAGGCCAGCAACUGUAGCUCUGAUUUGACCCCUAGCCUGGGAACUUCCAUACGCCUCAGGUACAGCCCUAAAAAGCAA
Molecule: long non-coding RNA, 6475 nt
Filed under: Sus scrofa (pig)
Lineage: Eukaryota; Metazoa; Chordata; Mammalia; Artiodactyla; Suidae
Description: lncRNA (ENSSSCG00040037517.1)
Source: RNAcentral